Molecule: long non-coding RNA, 473 nt
Organism: Clupea harengus (Atlantic herring)
Lineage: Eukaryota; Metazoa; Chordata; Actinopteri; Clupeiformes; Clupeidae
Source: Ensembl
UAUCCUAGCUAUCUAUAGCUUAGGGAACCAUCUUGCAGUCGCUAGUGUGUGUUAAACCACUUAAGGUUAUUUAAUAGUUUCCUUAGCUAGCUAGCCAAUUAGCUUGCAUAGCAACUAGGCACCAAAGUAAAAUUUCUCAAAAUCAGUUGAGAAAGAGAAAAUCUAAAAUACAGUCUUCAAAGGGACCACUUGAGGAUGAUGUUAAAUGGCUUCACAUAGACAUUAAACAAUCCUGCGUGAAAUAAUGGGACAUCAGUGGAGCAAGGGCUUACUCUGAUACCAAUGUAGUGAAAUAUCAGUGGAGUAAGGGCUUACUCUGAUACCAAUGUAGUGAAAUAUCAGUGGAGCAAGGGCUUACUCUGAUACCAAUGUAGUGAAAUAUCAGUGGAGUAAGGGCUUACUCUGAUACCAAUGUAGUGAAAUAUCAGUGGAGUAAGGGCUUACUCUGAUACCAAUGUAGUGACUGAAUGGGG